AGCUGUACCCGAAUCCGACACAGGUAGGUCUGUAGAGUAUACAGAGGGGCGCGAGAUAACUCUCUCUAAGGAACUCGGCAAAAUGGCCCCGUAACUUCGGGAGAAGGGGUGCCUCCGCAAGGAGGUCGCAGUGAACAGGCCCAAGCGACUGUUUACCAAAAACACAGGUCUCCGCUAAGUCGUAAGACUAUGUAUGGGGGCUGACGCCUGCCCGGUGCUGGUAGGUGAAGCGAGCUGGUUAUCUGUAUAGAGAAGCUGGCGACCGAAGCCCCAGUGAACGGCGGCCCUAACAAUGAGGGUCCUAAGGUAGCAAAAUUCUUUGCCUGGUAAGUUCAGGCUUGCAUGAAUGGCGUAACGACUUGGGUACUGUCUCGGAGAGAGACUCGGUGAAAUAGACAUGUCUGUGAAGAUGCGGACUACUUACAUCUUGACAGAAAGACCCUAUAAAGCUUUACUGUAGCCUGACAUUGGAUUUGGGCUCCUCUUGCGCAGACUAGGUGGGAGGCUAUGAUGCUCGCCCUGCGGGGCGAGCUGAGCCAUCAUUGAGAGACCACUCUGGAAGAGCUAAAAUUCUAAUGGUGAUCCUUGAAUCAGGACACUUGACAGUGUCAGGCGGGCAGUUUUUCUGGGGCGGAAGCCUCCUAAAAGGUAACGGAGGCGCGCAAAGGUUCCUUCAAGCUGGACGGAAAUCAGCUGUAGAGCGUAAAGGUAUAAGGGAGCUUGACUGCAAGAGUUACAACUCGAGCAGGGGCGAAAGCCGGCCUUAGUGAUCCGACGGUGCCGUGUGGAAGGGCCGUCGCUCAACGAAUAAAAGUUACUUUAAGGAUAACAGGCUGAUCUUCCCCAAGAGUCCACAUCGACGGGAAGGUUUGGCACCUCGAUGUCGGCUUGUCACAUCCUGUGGCGGUAGUACGUCACAAGGGUUGGGCUGUUCGCCCAUUAAAGUGGUACGCGAGCUGGGUUCAGAACGUCGUGAGACAGUUUGGUCCAUAUCCGAUGUAAGCGCUAGAGCGCUGAGGGAAUCCUCGCCUAGUACGAGAGGACCGGUGAGGACGCACCUCUGGUGUACCGGUUGUUCCGCCAGGGGCAUAUGCCGGGUAGCCAUGUGCGGAGCGGAUAACCGCUGAAAGCAUCUAAGUGGGAAGCCCAUCCCAAGAUGAGCGCUCUCUCGCAAGAGUUUUGCUCUUGCAAUAGGCCACAGCAAGACUAGCUGUUUGAUAGGCAUUAGGUGUAACGUCGGUAACGGCCUUAGCUGAGAUGUACUAAUAGGCCUACUGAG
This 1279-nucleotide ribosomal RNA is filed under the name metagenome. RNAcentral's name for it is "bacterial LSU rRNA". It matches the Rfam family "Bacterial large subunit ribosomal RNA", at positions 1640 to 2925 of the family's 2925-position model. The record is from RNAcentral.